This 527-nucleotide ribosomal RNA is filed under the name Issus canariensis. RNAcentral's name for it is "partial large subunit ribosomal RNA". It matches the Rfam family "Eukaryotic large subunit ribosomal RNA", at positions 692 to 1154 of the family's 3401-position model. The record is from RNAcentral. Lineage: Eukaryota; Metazoa; Arthropoda; Insecta; Hemiptera; Issidae.
CAGCGCGAUCUUAAUCCCGUGGGCGCAAUGAGAGUGAAGGGGAGGCCGGCCCCGGCCGGCCUCCCCGAGGGAAGACGGGGCCGUCGUCCUAACGGGCGCGGUCCCUGCACUCCCGGGGCGUCUCGAUCUCUCCGCAAGGCGAGGCGAGGCGCACCCAGAGCGUACACGUUGGGACCCGAAAGAUGGUGAACUAUGCCUGGCCAGGACGAAGUCAGGGGAAACCCUGAUGGAGGUCCGCAGCGAUUCUGACGUGCAAAUCGAUCGUCUGAGCUGGGUAUAGGGGCGAAAGACUAAUCGAACCAUCUAGUAGCUGGUUCCCUCCGAAGUUUCCCUCAGGAUAGCUGGCGCUCAGGAUUACUGAGUCUCAUGCGGUAAAGCGAAUGAUUAGAGGCCUUGGGGCCGAAACGACCUCAACCUAUUCUCAAACUUUAAAUGUGUGAGAUCUCCGGCCUGCUCGUAAGAUGAGGCCGGAGCCGUUUUAAUGGAUCGGAGUGCCAAGUGGGCCAAUUUUGGUAAGCAGAACUGGC